Molecule: ribosomal RNA, 509 nt
Filed under: uncultured bacterium
Lineage: Bacteria
Description: bacterial SSU rRNA
Rfam family: Bacterial small subunit ribosomal RNA
Source: RNAcentral
CGGCGUGCCUAAUACAUGCAAGUCGAACGCACUCUCGUUUAGAUUGAAGGAGCUUGCUCCUGAUUGAUAAACAUUUGAGUGAGUGGCGGACGGGUGAGUAACACGUGGGUAACCUGCCCUAAAGUGGGGGAUAACAUUUGGAAACAGAUGCUAAUACCGCAUAAAACCUAACACCGCAUGGUGUAGGGUUGAAAGAUGGUUUCGGCUAUCACUUUAGGAUGGACCCGCGGUGCAUUAGUUAGUUGGUGAGGUAAAGGCUCACCAAGACCGUGAUGCAUAGCCGACCUGAGAGGGGUAAUCGGCCACACUGGGACUGAGACACGGCCCAGACUCCUAUGGGAGGCAGCAGUAGGGAAUCUUCCACAAUGGACGAAAGUCUGAUGGAGCAACGCCGCGUGAGUGAAGAAGGUUUUCGGAUCGUAAAACUCUGUUGUUGGAGAAGAAUGUAUCUGAUAGUAACUGAUCAGGUAGUGACGGUAUCCAACCAGAAAGCCACGGCUAACUGCGUG